AUACGAAGGGGGCUAGCGUUGCUCGGAAUCACUGGGCGUAAAGCGCACGUAGGCGGACUCUUCAGUCGGUGGUGAAAUCCUGGAGCUCAACUUCAGAACUGCCUUCGAUACUGAGAGUCUCGAGUCCGGGAGAGGGGAGUGGCACUGCGAGUGUAGAGGUGAAAUUCGUAGAUAUUAGCAAGAACACCAGUGGCGAAGGCGGCUCACUGGCCCGGUACUGGCGCUGAGGUGCGAAAGCGUGGGGGGCAAACAGGAUUAGAUACCCUGGUAGUCCACGCCGUAAACGAUGGAUGCUAGCCGUUAGUGGGUUUACUCACUAGUGGCGCAGCUAACGCUUUAAGCAUUCCGCCUGGGGAGUACGGUCGCAAGAUUAAAACUUAAAUGAAUUGGCGGGG
RNAcentral lists this ribosomal RNA (395 nucleotides) under uncultured bacterium. RNAcentral's name for it is "partial 16S ribosomal RNA". It matches the Rfam family "Bacterial small subunit ribosomal RNA", at positions 523 to 918 of the family's 1533-position model. The record is from RNAcentral.